GCGCCGGUAGCUCAGCGGCAGAGACAACCGCCUCUUAAGCGGUGGGCCGAGGGUUCGAGUCCCUCCCGGCGUAC
This 74-nucleotide transfer RNA is filed under the name Phytohabitans houttuyneae. RNAcentral describes it as "tRNA-Lys". It matches the Rfam family "tRNA". Rfam says of the family: Transfer RNA (tRNA) molecules are approximately 80 nucleotides in length. Their secondary structure includes four short double-helical elements and three loops (D, anti-codon, and T loops). Further hydrogen bonds mediate the characteristic L-shaped molecular structure. tRNAs have two regions of fundamental functional importance: the anti-codon, which is responsible for specific mRNA codon recognition, and the 3' end, to which the tRNAs corresponding amino acid is attached (by aminoacyl-tRNA synthetases). tRNAs cope with the degeneracy of the genetic code in two manners: having more than one tRNA (with a specific anti-codon) for a particular amino acid; and 'wobble' base-pairing, i.e. permitting non-standard base-pairing at the 3rd anti-codon position. The record is from RNAcentral. Lineage: Bacteria; Bacillati; Actinomycetota; Actinomycetes; Micromonosporales; Micromonosporaceae.